Molecule: long non-coding RNA, 238 nt
Filed under: Elaeis guineensis (African oil palm)
Lineage: Eukaryota; Viridiplantae; Streptophyta; Magnoliopsida; Arecales; Arecaceae
Description: long non-coding RNA (EGUI_LNC038735)
Source: RNAcentral
CCCUAUCCGCUCUCAGCUUGCUUACCGGACUUCAGACUUGACUUUACUUGCCUCUUUUCCUUGGGCGGGACUAUUCAUAAUGCAGCUAAGCCGAGGACUUUCUUCUGACAGUACUCUUUCAGCAUUUAAGCUAGUCACUCCUGCCCCUCUUCUCUUACCUAAGCCCAGCCGAUAGUUAGCGAACAGCCUUCAAAGACUAGCGAUGUAUGUCACCGAUGGGAUUACAGCCAGUUGGAGG